Molecule: long non-coding RNA, 171 nt
Organism: Aquila chrysaetos chrysaetos
Lineage: Eukaryota; Metazoa; Chordata; Aves; Accipitriformes; Accipitridae
Exons: 3
Source: RefSeq, a predicted model, not a curated record
AUUUGGCAGCCUGAACGUUUUCAGAGAGGUUGUGGAGUCUUCCUUCUUGGAGAUAUCCAAAAGCCGUCUGGACAUGGUCUUGGGCAACUGGCUCUAGGUGGCACUGCUUGAGCAGGGGGGUUGGACUAGAUGACCUCCAGAGGUCCCUUCCAACCUCAGCUAUUCUGUGAU